This 148-nucleotide ribosomal RNA is filed under the name Lauriomyces bellulus. Its description in RNAcentral is "partial 18S ribosomal RNA". It matches the Rfam family "Eukaryotic small subunit ribosomal RNA", at positions 1685 to 1830 of the family's 1831-position model. RNAcentral also lists the same sequence under 1 other name. The record is from RNAcentral. Lineage: Eukaryota; Fungi; Ascomycota; Leotiomycetes.
CCGAUUGAAUGGCUCAGUGAGGCUUCCGGACUGGCUCAGGGAGGUCGGCAACGACCACCCAGAGCCGGAAAGCUAUCCAAACUUGGUCAUUUAGAGGAAGUAAAAGUCGUAACAAGGUCUCCGUUGGUGAACCAGCGGAGGGAUCAUU